RNAcentral lists this ribosomal RNA (465 nucleotides) under uncultured Klebsiella sp. RNAcentral describes it as "bacterial SSU rRNA". It matches the Rfam family "Bacterial small subunit ribosomal RNA", at positions 338 to 795 of the family's 1533-position model. Lineage: Bacteria; Pseudomonadati; Pseudomonadota; Gammaproteobacteria; Enterobacterales; Enterobacteriaceae. The record is from RNAcentral.
CCUACGGGUGGCAGCAGUGGGGAAUAUUGCACAAUGGGCGCAAGCCUGAUGCAGCCAUGCCGCGUGUGUGAAGAAGGCCUUCGGGUUGUAAAGCACUUUCAGCGGGGAGGAAGGCGUUAAGGUUAAUAACCUUGUCGAUUGACGUUACCCGCAGAAGAAGCACCGGCUAACUCCGUGCCAGCAGCCGCGGUAAUACGGAGGGUGCAAGCGUUAAUCGGAAUUACUGGGCGUAAAGCGCACGCAGGCGGUCUGUCAAGUCGGAUGUGAAAUCCCCGGGCCCAACCUGGGAACUGCAUUCGAAACUGGCAGGCUAGAGUCUUGUAGAGGGGGGUAGAAUUCCAGGUGUAGCGGUGAAAUGCGUAGAGAUCUGGAGGAAUACCGGUGGCGAAGGCGGCCCCCUGGACAAAGACUGACGCUCAGGUGCGAAAGCGUGGGGAGCAAACAGGAUUAGAUACCCCGGUAGUC